This 301-nucleotide ribosomal RNA is filed under the name uncultured bacterium. Its description in RNAcentral is "partial 16S ribosomal RNA". It matches the Rfam family "Bacterial small subunit ribosomal RNA", at positions 509 to 807 of the family's 1533-position model. The record is from RNAcentral.
CAGUAGCCACGGGAAUACGAAGGGUGCAAGCGUUACUCGGAAUUACUGGGCGUAAAGCGUGCGUAGGUGGUGGUUUAAGUCCGUUGUGAAAGCCCUGGGCUCAACCUGGGAAUUGCAGUGGAUACUGGGUCACUAGAGUGUGGUAGAGGAUAGUGGAAUUUCCGGUGUAGCAGUGAAAUGCGUAGAGAUCGGAAGGAACAUCUGUGGCGAAGGCGACUAUCUGGGCCAACACUGACACUGAGGCACGAAAGCGUGGGGAGCAAACAGGAUUAGAGACCCCGGUAGUCCCUGUCUCUUAUAC